RNAcentral lists this long non-coding RNA (1653 nucleotides) under Homo sapiens (human). RNAcentral's name for it is "novel transcript". Lineage: Eukaryota; Metazoa; Chordata; Mammalia; Primates; Hominidae. The record is from RNAcentral.
CUACGUGUGGCUGGGCCUGCUGGAGCGCGCGCUCCCGGGCCGAGCGCCGCGCGCCAUGCUGGCCAAGUUGCUGUGCGACCAGGUGGUCGGUGCGCCCAUCGCGGUCUCGGCCUUCUACGCCGGUAUGAGCAUUCUCCAGGGAAAGGAUGACAUAUUUUUGGACCUGAAACAGAAAUUCUGGAACACCUAUAUGCAAACUCAGUCGUGGCUUUGGAGAUCACUUUAAGCUUGUCUCCAGCUGGCACACUAAGGAGGGUAAUGGAGAAGCUCCCCCACCCCCAACCCCACCCCUUCCUUCCGGAAGCAAAUCUAAGUCCAGCCCCGGCUCCAGAUCCCUCCCACAGUGGACCUAGGAAACCCUCAGCUCAGAGAACAACCCUGCAUUCCCCACACAACACCCACAAUCAGCCACUGCGGGCGAGGAGGGCACGAGGCCAGGUUCCCAAGAGCUCAGCUCUGGCCCCUAGUAGCAGCUCAGUUCCUCAAUGGGCCGUGUUUGUCCUGGAGCCCAGAUGGACUGUGGCCAGGAACAUGGAGCUGAUCCAGGACACCUCCCGCCCGCCACUGGAGUACGUGAAGGGGGUCCCGCUCAUCAAGUACUUUGCAGAGGCACUGGGGCCCCUGCAGAGCUUCCAGGCCCGGCCUGAUGACCUGCUCAUCAGCACCUACCCCAAGUCCGGCACUACCUGGGUAAGCCAGAUUCUGGACAUGAUCUACCAGGGUGGUGACCUGGAGAAGUGUCACCGAGCUCCCAUCUUCAUGCGGGUGCCCUUCCUUGAGUUCAAAGCCCCAGGGAUUCCCUCAGGGAUGGAGACUCUGAAAGACACACCGGCCCCACGACUCCUGAAGACACACCUGCCCCUGGCUCUGCUCCCCCAGACUCUGUUGGAUCAGAAGGUCAAGGUGGUCUAUGUUGCCCGCAACGCAAAGGAUGUGGCAGUUUCCUACUACCACUUCUACCACAUGGCCAAGGUGCACCCUGAGCCUGGGACCUGGGACAGCUUCCUGGAGAAGUUCAUGGUCGGAGAAGUGUCCUACGGAUCCUGGUACCAGCACGUGCAGGAGUGGUGGGAGCUGAGCCGCACCCACCCUGUUCUCUACCUCUUCUAUGAAGACAUGAAGGAGAACCCGAAAAGGGAGAUUCAAAAGAUCCUGGAGUUUGUGGGGCGCUCCCUGCCAGAGGAGACCGUGGACUUCGUGGUUCAGCACACGUCGUUCAAGGAGAUGAAGAAGAACCCUAUGACCAACUACACCACCGUCCCCCAGGAGUUCAUGGACCACAGCAUCUCCCCCUUCAUGAGGAAAGGCAUGGCUGGGGACUGGAAGACCACCUUCACCGUGGCGCAGAAUGAGCGCUUCGAUGCGGACUAUGCGGAGAAGAUGGCAGGCUGCAGCCUCAGCUUCCGCUCUGAGCUGUGAGAGGGGCUCCUGGAGUCACUGCAGAGGGAGUGUGCGAAUCAAACCUGACCAAGCGGCUCAAGAAUAAAAUAUGAAUUGAGGGCCCGGGACGGUAGGUCAUGUCUGUAAUCCCAGCAAUUUGGAGGCUGAGGUGGGAGGAUCAUUUGAGCCCAGGAGUUCGAGACCAACCUGGGCAACAUAGUGAGAUUCUGUUAAAAAAAUAAAAUAAAAUAAAACCAAUUUUUAAAAAGAGAA